This is a non-coding RNA of Monodelphis domestica (gray short-tailed opossum), 813 nucleotides long. NCBI's taxonomy places the organism in Eukaryota, Metazoa, Chordata, Mammalia, Didelphimorphia, Didelphidae. The record is from RefSeq and is a predicted model, not a curated record.
GGAGUGUUCCAGGCAUGGGGGGAGUGGAAAGGAGGGUGGGACAGGGCAGCUUAUACUAAGGCAUGAAAGUGGAAGAUAUAUGAUGAGAUCUGUCAGAUAGCGAAAAAAGAAUAAGUCAGCCAGAGCCAGAUUGUCAAAGGCUCUGUAAAACAGAAAAUGGAAUUUGUAUUUGAUCCUAGAGGCAAUAGAGAGCUUGGGGGGUUUCUUGAAUAAGAGAGAGACAUGGUCAAAAAGUGCUUUCUGAAUAUCACUUUGGCAAAUAAUAGAUUGCAAAGAGUAUAUACUUGAAGCAGAGAAAGCUACAGGAGGCUGUUGCAGUAGGCUAGGCAAGGGGUGGUGAAGGACUAAACAGGCAUGGUAGCCAAGUAGAUGGAGAGAAGACAACAGAAAUGAGGAAUUUGAAGAAUUUAAACUGGCAAGACAGCAACAAAGUAGAUAUGUGGGAUGAACAAAAAUGAGGAGACAAAGAUGACCACAUCAUUGUCAGUCUUUGAAAUUGGAAGAAGAGCAUAUCCUUCCAAAGAGAAAGAUAUCCACACCACACCUCAGCUGUAGUCGUGCCCUUCAACUGCCUUCAUCAACUAAACAUCUGCACCGUAAAGCCACCUAUAGAAAGCAAAUCAGUCAAAAAACUUAUCUGGUUCUUAGGAACACAAGACCCAAAGGAAGAUUAUGGAGAACACCAAUGCUCCAGUAGUCGGUUCUCCACAGAGAACUCAAGAAGUAAAUGUCCAGACCAAAUACCAAAAACUCCUCAUUGUUCUCUUCAGUGAUGGAAUGAUGAUUAUAAUUGGAAUAAUAUGUUUAAUACUU